RNAcentral lists this ribosomal RNA (504 nucleotides) under uncultured bacterium. Its description in RNAcentral is "bacterial SSU rRNA". It matches the Rfam family "Bacterial small subunit ribosomal RNA", at positions 46 to 518 of the family's 1533-position model. The record is from RNAcentral.
GCUUAACACAUGCAAGUCGAACGGGACUGAUUGAAAGCUUGCUUUGAAAAGUCUAGUGGCAAACGGGUGAGUAACGCGUAGGCAACCUGCCUCUAAGGAUGGGGACAACAGCCCGAAAGGGCUGCUAAUACCGAAUGUUGUGAGUUUUCCGCAUGGAGAAUUCAUUAAAGAUGGCCUCUACUUGUAAGCUAUCACUUAGAGAUGGGCCUGCGUCUGAUUAGCUAGUUGGUGGGGUAACGGCUCACCAAGGCGACGAUCAGUAGCCGGUCUGAGAGGAUGAACGGCCACAUUGGGACUGAGACACGGCCCAGACUCCUACGGGAGGCAGCAGUGGGGAAUCUUCCGCAAUGGGCGAAAGCCUGACGGAGCAACGCCGCCGUGAGUGAAGAAGGUCUUCGGAUCGUAAAGCUCUGUCGAAGGGGACGAACGUGGGUUCUAUCAACAACGGGACCUAAUGACGGUACCUUUCAAGAAAGCCACGGCUAACUACGUGCCAGCCGCCGC